RNAcentral lists this non-coding RNA (126 nucleotides) under Candidatus Woesebacteria bacterium GW2011_GWB1_39_10b. Lineage: Bacteria; Candidatus Woeseibacteriota. The record is from RNAcentral.
AGAUCCUGAUUAUUGGAGGUUUUUUAUCAGAGCGAAAUCAUAUAAAGACUUUGCUACGAUUAUUGACUCCAAUCAUCCGGAAAAACUUUCAAUAUUGCGGAUGAAGAUAUAGUCCAUGCCCCCGCG